GCCUUUUAAGCUAGAGAAAGAGGACCACCAACCCUCCCUAAUGAU
RNAcentral lists this transfer RNA (45 nucleotides) under Amazilia yucatanensis. RNAcentral's name for it is "partial tRNA-Lys". Lineage: Eukaryota; Metazoa; Chordata; Aves; Apodiformes; Trochilidae. The record is from RNAcentral.